GACGAACGCUGGCGGCGUGCUUAACACAUGCAAGUCGAACGGUGAAAGCGGAGCUUGCCCCGCUGGAUCAGUGGCGAACGGGUGUGUAACACGUGGGCAACCUGCCCCUCACUUCGGGAUAACCCCGGGAAAACGGGGGUUAUUCCGGCUAUGCCCCCCUAGGCCAACUAUGGAGGUGGAAAGGCUUUCGGUGAGGGAUGGGUCCGCGGCCUAUCAGCUUGUUGGUGGGGUAGUGGCUCACCAAGGCGACGACGGGGAGCCGGCCUGAGAGGGCGACCGGCCACACUGGGACUGAGACACGGCCCAGACUCCUACGGGAGGCAGCAGUGGGGAAUAUUGCGCAAUGGGCGAAAGCCUGACUCAGCAACGCCGCGUGCGGGAUGACGGCCUUCGGGUUGUAAACCGCUUUCAGCAGGGAAGAAGCCGCAAGGUGACGGUACCUGCAGAAGAAGCACCGGCUAACUACGUGCCAGCCGCCGCCGUAA
Molecule: ribosomal RNA, 485 nt
Filed under: uncultured bacterium
Lineage: Bacteria
Description: partial 16S ribosomal RNA
Rfam family: Bacterial small subunit ribosomal RNA
Source: RNAcentral